GCCUCGGUAGUCUAAAGGCUUAGGACACUCGCACGGAAUACAAGAGAUCCGGGUUCGAUUUCCGGUUGAGGUA
This 73-nucleotide transfer RNA is filed under the name Acromyrmex echinatior (Panamanian leafcutter ant). It matches the Rfam family "tRNA". Rfam says of the family: Transfer RNA (tRNA) molecules are approximately 80 nucleotides in length. Their secondary structure includes four short double-helical elements and three loops (D, anti-codon, and T loops). The record is from Rfam by way of RNAcentral. Lineage: Eukaryota; Metazoa; Arthropoda; Insecta; Hymenoptera; Formicidae.